UUAAGGGCCUGAGUUAUGGUCAGGUAGAAAGAAGGACACUAUAUGCUAAAGCUGCUAUGAUGGGCAACUGGGCAAGAAAAGGCAGAGGCAGAGAGUUUAAUUGUAUGGAGACAAUUGGGUACAAGUAGGGUCAGUAUCAGGAGAGGCUUCUUAAAGAAGGUGAUGCUUGGGCUGAUUCAUGAGAGAUGAGUGUUUACCUCAUGAGGAGGAGCUUGAUUGGAUGAAGGGAGAUGGAAGAGCAUGGAGGACAGUACAGAAGCCCAGAGAUAGGCAAGACAACUUCACCCAGGAAGCAUAUAAAACCACUCCAGUGGACAAUGUCGUUCUCUUGGACCAGAUGAAUUCUGAAAUCCAAUCUAGUGUAGCCGUUGAUUCAUUUGGAUAGAGAAGACAAGAUUGAGAAACAGUAUAAAACAGAACACAUAACUGCCUUCCUGUAUGCCUCAGUGUCCUCAACAAAAGAGAAAGAAAGCCAGAAGAAAAGAAAGAGAAAGAGAGAGAGAGAGAGAACAAGAACGUGGAAAUCGAGUUCCCAAUAUGACUGAUCAGGAUCAAGAAUCAUCAGCUCUCCACGCUUUUCAUAUUUUCCCUGGAGAAGAGCCAGGAUGUGAAUAUUUAUAAACACUGAAUAAUCACC
This is a long non-coding RNA of Gorilla gorilla gorilla (western lowland gorilla), 637 nucleotides long. RefSeq lists it as uncharacterized. The record is from RefSeq and is a predicted model, not a curated record. Lineage: Eukaryota; Metazoa; Chordata; Mammalia; Primates; Hominidae. The transcript is spliced from 4 exons.